GGGACUAAGACAGGCAUUUCAGCAG
Molecule: non-coding RNA, 25 nt
Filed under: Cricetulus griseus (Chinese hamster)
Lineage: Eukaryota; Metazoa; Chordata; Mammalia; Rodentia; Cricetidae
Source: RNAcentral